GACGAACGCUGGCGGCGUGCUUAACACAUGCAAGUCGAACGGAAAGGCCCUGCUUUUGUGGGGUGCUCGAGUGGCGAACGGGUGAGUAACACGUGAGUAACCUGCCCUUGACUUUGGGAUAACUUCAGGAAACUGGGGCUAAUACCGGAUAGGAGCUCCUGCUGCAUGGUGGGGGUUGGAAAGUUUCGGCGGUUGGGGAUGGACUCGCGGCUUAUCAGCUUGUUGGUGGGGUAGUGGCUUACCAAGGCUUUGACGGGUAGCCGGCCUGAGAGGGUGACCGGCGACAAUGGGACUGAGAUACGGCCCAGACUCGUACGGGAGGCAACAGUGGGAAGUAUGGCACAGUGGGCGGACGCCUGAUGCGGCAACGCCGCGUGCGUGAUGACGUGCUACGGGUGGUAAACCGCUUUCGCAGGUGACGAAGCGUGAGUGACGGUAAUGGGUAAGGAAGCACCGGCUAACUACGUG
RNAcentral lists this ribosomal RNA (468 nucleotides) under uncultured bacterium. Its description in RNAcentral is "partial 16S ribosomal RNA". It matches the Rfam family "Bacterial small subunit ribosomal RNA", at positions 28 to 507 of the family's 1533-position model. The record is from RNAcentral.